This 274-nucleotide ribosomal RNA is filed under the name uncultured bacterium. RNAcentral's name for it is "partial 16S ribosomal RNA". It matches the Rfam family "Bacterial small subunit ribosomal RNA", at positions 523 to 796 of the family's 1533-position model. The record is from RNAcentral.
CUACGGAGGGGGCUAGCGUUGUUCGGAGUUACUGGGCGUAAAGCGUACGUAGGCGGACUGAUCAGUUGGGGGUGAAAUCCCAGGGCUUAACCCUGGAACUGCCUUCAAUACUGUCAGUCUUGAGUUUGGGAGAGGUGAGUGGAAUUCCUAGUGUAGAGGUGAAAUUCAUAGAUAUUAGGAGGAACACCAGUGGCGAAGGCGGCUCACUGGCCCAUUACUGACGCUGAGGUACGAAAGCGUGGGGAGCAAACAGGAUUAGAAACCCCAGUAGUCC